Ochotona curzoniae (black-lipped pika) is the source of this 126-nucleotide small nucleolar RNA. RefSeq annotates it as small nucleolar RNA SNORA40. NCBI's taxonomy places the organism in Eukaryota, Metazoa, Chordata, Mammalia, Lagomorpha, Ochotonidae. The transcript has a single exon. The record is from RefSeq and is a predicted model, not a curated record.
UGAACUUAAGUAUGUUUUUGUUUAAUUUGUACACAAAGACUGAUGUACAAGUGCAAAAAAUAAAUCCUCCUUUGCAGGCCAGAACUCACUGAGCAGUGUGAGUUUUGACACACAAGCAGCAAUAGG